Long non-coding RNA from Artibeus jamaicensis (Jamaican fruit-eating bat), 1055 nucleotides. RefSeq lists it as uncharacterized. Lineage: Eukaryota; Metazoa; Chordata; Mammalia; Chiroptera; Phyllostomidae. The record is from RefSeq and is a predicted model, not a curated record. The transcript has 3 exons.
CGGUGCGGCCCAGGCAAGAGGGUCCCUGGAAAUGAAACUGAAACUCGGAGCCGCGGCAGGAAGUUAGCGGCCCUAGGAUGAAGGCCAGGAGCCAACUGCAGCCAGGAACAACAGACUUUAGCAAGAGGAAAUGCAGUCAAUGGGAACCAAAGCUACAGGAUGCGUGUUGGGGACCACUUUGUGUGGUAUCGGAGACUGUAGCCCCUUGCAAGUGAGGCCUUGAAAGAGACCUGUAAGCCUUGACCGGUUUUCGGGAAUGCAGGAGGCAGGCAUGAACCAAGGCCAGCACUGAGGGUUUCAGUGGAAAAUCAGGCCUGAAGAAUGCAUUGUAUCCUUUGAAGCUUGCUUUGCUUUGUACAGCCCUGUUGGUAUAAACCAGAUGUUUUUAAGUUUAAAGCGUAAAAGAGUGAACUCCUUAUCUCAUGAAGCUUGCCUUAAAGACCCUCUGGCGUCAGCAGGCGCAGCAGACCCUGACCUGAGGCAGGUUUCUGUUUCUUCACUUUUAUCUAUAAAUCCCAUCUGUUCUCUGCAACAGCAGUCCUUUGACAUUGAUUGAUGAGCUAUGCAGGUAUGCUGUGUACCCCUACACGUACUGAUCUCAAUAAAAGCCCUUUCGGAGAAGGCUUUAGGGCAUUCUCUACGUAAGAGAUCGCAAGCUUCCUUCCCCCCAGAUUGUGUCUGGGCCAGCUUAUGUCACCCUUGACUGGGAGGACUCUGAGGGAUGGGGUUCCCCUCACCCCAGUAACAGUUUGCUAAUUCAUUGUUUGGUGGCGAUCGUACAGACCGUAACUCCUGUGAAUAAUGAGGACUGUACACUCAUAUGUGUAUCAGAAUGCUUCUGGAGAUGCUGGAUUUGAAGAAGCAUGAGGUUGAUUUCUGCCCUCCGUCUUAGAUCCUCUUUUUACGUAUAUCCUGUCUGUUCAAGGGAGAACUGUAGUUGGUUCAACUUGUCUCGAUGAACCAUGCACUUUUUGUUGUGUUUACCAAUCUUCCUCUUUGAUUUCUCACACAGUUAAGUGCUUGAUACAGAAUUAUAAAUCAUAAAUUGGCAUUCA